This 544-nucleotide ribosomal RNA is filed under the name uncultured Ascomycota. RNAcentral describes it as "SSU rRNA". It matches the Rfam family "Eukaryotic small subunit ribosomal RNA", at positions 548 to 1098 of the family's 1831-position model. Lineage: Eukaryota; Fungi; Ascomycota. The record is from RNAcentral.
UUGGAGGGCAAGUCUGGUGCCAGCAGCCGCGGUAAUUCCAGCUCCAAUAGCGUAUAUUAAAGUUGUUGUGGUUAAAAAGCUCGUAGUUGAACCUUGGGCCUGGCUGGCCGGUCCGCCUCACCGCGUGUACUGGUCCGGCCGGGCCUUUCCCUCUGUGGAACCCCAUGCCCUUCACUGGGCGUGGCGGGGAAACAGGACUUUUACUGUGAAAAAAUUAGAGUGCUCCAGGCAGGCCUAUGCUCGAAUACAUUAGCAUGGAAUAAUAGAAUAGGACGUGUGGUUCUAUUUUGUUGGUUUCUAGGACCGCCGUAAUGAUUAAUAGGGACAGUCGGGGGCAUCAGUAUUCAAUUGUCAGAGGUGAAAUUCUUGGAUUUAUUGAAGACUAACUACUGCGAAAGCAUUUGCCAAGGAUGUUUUCAUUAAUCAGGAACGAAAGUUAGGGGAUCGAAGACGAUCAGAUACCGUCGUAGUCUUAACCAUAAACUAUGCCGACUAGGGAUCGGACGGUGUUAUUUUUUGACCCGUUCGGCGCCUUACGGGAAAC